GCUGGGAUUGGGGCGUGUGUCCAGGGAUGCAGCCGUGGUCCUUCCUUGUCUGGGGCGCGGCGGGACAGGGCUGCUAUGGGCGCCUUGGGGAACUCAGCCUUUCCAUGUCUGUUCGGUCCUUCAGAGAGCGCUGCUGAGGGCUCUGGGGAGACAGCAGCCAGCUAGAUGGGGUCUGGUGUAGCUGGGCCCCUGGCACUGGGUGGCCUUGCCAGCGGUGGGCCUUGUCUGGGAACAAGGGCCCGCCUUCAGCACGUUUCCCCUGUGUGUGUGGAGAGUGGACUUAGCCCGAGCCCUAGGGAGCUGAAGGUUCCCACAGCCAGGGAGGAAGCUGCAGCUACAGACUGACGGUUCCCGGAGCUUCUGUUGGCUUUGGGUGAUUUCACGGAACAGUUGGCCAGAGCGCUGCGAGGCAGAGCUAUGACCUCUCGGCCCAGCAGCCAGCAGAAGGAGUGGCUUAGCCUUCCAGAGAAGUGCAGUGUGGGUUGCCACACCCUCCCCUGGCCAAGAGUCCAGGGAGCAGAGGACCUGGCUCUGUCCCAGCUCGGCCCUGCGGACGUCUCUGCAUCUCUCUUAGCCUGCUCCCUGGCUGUCAGGAGAGACUAGUCCCCCCCUUGCCUGGCUGCAGUGAAAACCCAGUGAGACGGGACCUAAAGUACCCCACCUCUGCCCACGUGCAGAGGUGGAGAAUCAGACAUGGAAGGAGUCUGAGCUUUUUUGUGGUCCCUUCUGUUGAGGUUUGGAAUCUGGAAAUGGAUCGUCCUUGCCGGUGGUCCUCACUGAUGUGGACUGUCAGGGCCUCCCCCUGUGAGCAGCGUGGCCUUGCAUCGCUUGGAUGUUUCCGUCUUGCUGGACUUAUUGGAAGGAGCUAUAAGUGAAACACUCUGCCCCAAAAUGUCAAGUUCAUCAGGGGGUUUCAUGCUAAAGCCCCUGAAAAGUGGCAGACGUUUCUUGUUCCUUGCCUUGUUUGUAGUGGCAGCGUCUGUUGCCCAUGCCCGGUGGCCCUGGUGUUUGAGCUUAGGGAUGUGGUGCGGACAUGGGGGUAGGGGAGGAGGAGGGAAGAAAAGGGGAGCAUUGGACAGCUUAUCAGGCUAGUAAGAAAAGAUACUUUCGUUAGGUAAAGCAUGAAAUGGGAGCCCAGUUGGAAAUAAUAAUAAUGGUAUGGAUAUAGUGUUAUGAAUAUCGUUAUUUUCCCCCAGCUUUGGCCUGAUCAGGGCUUACAUGCACUUGGAUUUUAUAUAUAUAUAUAGAUGUUAUUAAUAAUCUUAAUUACUAAAGAGUAGCUAACUUUUACCAGACUUUUAUUUGCAGAUACUGCAAAGUGCUAAGCCCUGUAAUAUGCAUUAUUUCAUGAAAUUUUCUCAAGAACCUUAUGGGUAAUUAUCAUCCCCAUUUUAGAGCGAGGGAAACGGAAGCUGAGAGGUUGAACAUCUUGUCCGAGGUGCGCUGAGGCAGGGCGGGGGAGCCAGCAGCUCGAGCCCCCGCCUCAGACCCUGGGUUUCCCCUAAGGAUACCACUUCCUGGGUGCUAGGUUGUUCCUGGGUGUGACCGAUCGGCAGGCAGGGCAGUGCUUUCAUUAUACUAAUGAGGAGGACAGUGGUCCAAUGGCGGUCAAGGGCAAAGGUUGUGGAGCUGGACUGCCCUGACUCCACAUACGACUGCUUACCAGCUGGGUGGCCUUGGGCAAAUGACUGAUCUGCUCCUCGGUUUACUCAUCUGUGCCUCCCUCAAGCGUUGUUGUGAGGAUUAACACCGGCGAAGGGCCUAGAAGGGGGCUGUUAAUAUGCGUUCAUCAUUGUUCUGUCACUGUCCCUGUGCACGGUCCCGGGUCCACACUUGGGGGGUGUCUCUGGGUCAGGAUGGAGACUGGCAUGAAACAGAUGCCCAAUAAACAUUCUCUGCAUGAGGGAAUGGAGUUUACCAGGUGGUCGGCAGGGCUCCUCUAGUCAUCAGUCUUCUCUUCCAAGGAUCUUCCCCACCGUUUCCUGCCUGAGACGGACCCAUAAGUAGGGCUGACCCUUCCUUUCAUCCACGCUGGCCAGCGCGAGCUCGCUGGGUCUGCCUGGGGGGAGGGUCCGAGUGGACCCCGGUGAUGGCUGGAGACACAGGCUUCUUGGAGAGGCAAUUGAUGGCAGAUGCCAGCUCUCCAGCCUGCAGGGUGGGGCGUGUGGGAAGCCGGCUGUUCUCUGAAUAGUGGGGGCUGCUCCGUGUGAGUGUGUGAGCUGCGGAGCUGGAGUCCCUGCCCGAGCCUCGUGGGAGGGGCUCAGAGGGCUGGGCGGGCCAGUGCAGGAGGCUGCAGAGCCUGUCAAGGUUAACAGAUAGGCCUUGGCUCUCCCCUAGGAAGUCAUUCAGUUUCUCCCCUGACUCAGGCCACAUUGUUUCAAAGCAUGUGGUAUAAACUACUAACCACUGGGGAAUUGCUUGAAUUAACAAACUCAUUUUUCCCGAGACCUGAGGUUGAACUUGAGUGAGGAGUUCAGGGCUCUUUCGCAGAAAUCCAAUAGAUCAGGAGAACUCAUGUUACACCAUGUUUUCAACCUUGAUCAAAUGCACAUUUUGCACGGUGGGGCCUUCUCCACGCCUGCACACUUCCAGCUGCACCGAUAGCUCAGGACCGUGGCAGACCGGGGCAGUAGCUGGCACUGGGGUUGGGCUUUGGGGGAGCUGGCCUCCUGCCUGGGUUGGAAGGCGCUUCAGAAAGGUUCCUCUCUUCCUCUCUCCCUCUUCUCCUCCUAACUCCUGCCACCCCCACGCCUGCCCUUCUGAGUGCCAUUACUUAAGAGGAGGCAUGAAGGUUUUGCUGGAACGGUCCUGGGUUCUGGGCUGAGUCACGGGGCCCCAGCUCAGCUCUCCGGUGUGUCUUGUCUCUGCCUGUGAAGACCUGCUGGGCCUGCUUCCCCUUCAGCAGGGCGCCCGGCACAGGGGCCACUAUAGAUCUGCAGGGUCAAGCAGGAAUCGGUCCCUCUCCCACGGCCCUCCCCACCCACACAGCCCACGGCCAGGCCAUGUCCAAGAGCGGAAGCUCAGGGGAGGCCUGGAGAUGGCUCUACAGCCUACAGGACAGAGGCCAGUCCCAGUAGGCCAGGAACUCCCCAGGGACGAAGUUUCUGUGUGCGGUAUAGGACUGGAACCACAGGGGACGUGGAUGGCAGAGGAUGGGGAAGGUGGGGCUCAGGGAGGAGUUCACGUAAGGAGGGUAGGCUUCCUAGAGGAGGCUGGGUGGCACGUGGAGCCCCAAGAAAGAAGAGAACGGAUGAGGAACUUCCCAGAAAACAACAUUGCUCCCCAGACCCUGUCCUUUGCCAUCCAGAUGCUGAGGAUUCUGUUUUUUGUGAGGCAAGGUGUAUAUGGCCCAAACUGGUGGUUCUUAAACCAGGCUCAGCCGCCUGAUCACCUGGGGAACUCUGUAACACUAUAGACGUACAGCCCCACCCCAGACCUAUCCAGUCAAUUGCCCUUCGAUGGGGUCUGGACAUCUGCAGUUCUGAAGCUCCCCAGAGUGUUACGGUGCUGGGCCAGGGUCCAGAGACCCUUCCCCCUGCAUGGGUUGGCUGUGCUCAGCCCUCUUCUUUCCUGGCUGGUGGCUAUCUGGGGCUCAAGGACAUUAAGCCAUGGGGACACAUUUGAUGGAAUCGCCAUGGACUUCAGUGUCCCUGUGGCCCAACUCAGCUCAGGCUGUAGGAGGGCAACUUCUGGAUCACGGAGGGUAGGACUUCCGGGCCCCAGGGGUAGGAGAGGAUGGCUCAGCUACUCCCCUAUGCUGGCCUCUCUCCACCUGAUGGUGGAGGGCUCUCACCCUCUCCUCUGCCCCCUGGCCUCUGUCUCGCAGCUUAGGGAGAGCCGGCUUUGGGAAAUGUCAUGAGUUUUCAGCUACAACUGCUGCUGCACUGCAGUUCUCUUGGGAUUUUGUCAUUCCAAGUUCCAGGGCAGGGAAUCAGUUUGGCCCAACUCGGGGGUCAAUGGUAGCCCAUCGAUUACUGCCUCGGGGGCAGAGGGGAGGACAGAUAAUACAAAACACAGUCGCCAGUGCAUCAGGGGUGGGGCAGGCAGGUCAUGGCCAUGUCCAGUACAGUCUCUUGGUUUUGAGGCAGAAUCUUCUGGGAAACUGAAGCCUGGUAGAGGCAUCUCCACCAGGAGAGCUGGGUGGAUAGCCUUGGCCUCCAUGUGCGGGCAGGAGAACUGAAGGUUAGAGAGGGCACCCCACUAGAACAUUGACGAGCUGGAGUCUUCAUUGUCAUUUAGGCUGAGAAGAGGUCAGCGACCCCGGAGGCGGGUCCUGGGCCAUCUUCUGGCCACAGGCGUGGCUCCUGCCUUGUGCAUUCUAGAGCCUAGGGGGCUGGGGGAGUAAUAGCUGCAUGGGGAUCGCUUCUCUGCCUUGGUCUCCUUGUGAUGGGGAGCUUUUAUCACAGACUGUCUUCAUCUGACCUCCCCGUGACACUGGAUGAAAAGUGUUGUGUGAGCCUUUCUGGGCAGAGGGUCCGUACCUCUCUGAGAUUCUCCCAGGGGCCCUGGACUCAGUCAUGUGUAGACCCGCUGCUUCUUGGAACUUGUUAGUGAAAACAAUUUCUUGUGUCCGCAACUAUGGAGCACGUGGCCUGGCUCUUUGUCAUCAAAGACAUGAGGAGGUGCCUUCAGAGUCUUUGCUGCAGGCCGGGGAGGUUGUCACCCAGGAGAGGGUGCACAGGGGCUGUGCUGUGUUCACGUGCUCCCCGCUGCUGGGUUGGCACCUGGCUCGGGAGAGCCCUUGGACUUGGGUCCAGGAGCGUUUUUUCCCCUACCUCCCCCUGUUCUUCCAAAAGAGCCUCCCCUGGGGCUGGGGAGCCACGUGAGCUUCUUGGAAUGUGUGCCCACAGGGAGAAAGAGCCUCCUUCCUUUUGUGCCUCUUCAGGGGUCAUAUCAUGGGUCAAGGUGGUUUAGCCCAUGACCAGAGUGUUCCCCUUGUGGCUUCCUGUCUGGGUCAGGGCCAAGUUUCCCAGGCUUUAAGGGGUUCUCUGAAAAGAUCGGACCCAGCGACGAACGCCACUGCACCUUUCCGAAAGCAGCUGUCACACAAGGUAUUAGUUAUGUGCCCGGAGGUUCCGACAGAGACAUGUCAGUGCCCGGCCGGAACGCCUGAAAACAUUCAUCCCGGUGGCAUGUGGGUGCUGACGGUGGGUGCUGCCACCCUCCCGCUGCCCGUGCUUCCCAUGGACGUGUGUGUACUAUUUACGUGGCUAAUAGGCUUCUUGACUGAGGGUGACGUUCACAUGCUCUAAAAAGUCCAUUAACUGAAUUUAAGCUUCUCCAGAGGUCGUGGGGCCUAGUCUGUCUUUAGCAUGUGACGUGGAGGGAAUUGGAAAUCCAAGGACCCCUUCUGCUGGGCCUUUACCGGGACUGGAGACAGUGAGCUUUGCUGAGUGAGUAGAUCGUCUUCAGUCUGCCCGGAGCCUGCGGGUCCAGUGGAGUCCGAAGUGCUGGGUCAACCUGCCAGUUUCGGCCGGGGCUUUCCUUCGGAUGGGGUACCUGCUGCCAGGAGUCAAGGAGCACAAAGGCUAUACCGUCCGGAACAAGACACGCGCUGGAAAGCACUGGAUGGAGUGAGCCCGACCUUCUGCUUUGAGGGCCUCUCCGCAGUGAGUGUGUCGUGGGGCACCCAGCUCGCACCCUUAUAGGGGCCGCCCUUCCUCCAAGCAACCCUACUCCUGAGGCAGGGGCCAGGCCAGCCGUGGCAGAGCGCGGGCACAGGGUCACGCGAAUGAGGGCCCAUUUUAAACACCUCACGAAGAGCAAGUGUUUAUUCUCCUGCUGUAAAUAUAGGAGCUGCCCUAAGGACUCAUUUCGUUCCUGCAGAGGAAAGCCUGAGGCGGCGGUAGCCCCUGGGCAGACAGGCGAGAGUGGGCAGGGCUGCGAGGCUACGGCAGGACAGCGGGGCCCGGCCCGCCACUGGAAGCAGCCUGAGCUCAGGCCAGGGACUCUGAGGGCCGCUGCCCCAGGCAGAGCUCGGCCUGUGGGCACGACCUGGCUAGGCGGAGGCUGAGAGAACGGCAAAGAGUUGCCUCUGCACUGGAAGCCCGAGACCACGCUCCACCAGCCCCAAGCUCCCCCACUAAGGGUGCCCUCCUGCACGUUGCAGGUGAGCUGGGCCGAGGUGAGGGCCUGUGGAACUUCCCUGAAGAGCAAGCUGUCUGUUGUGUGGCCUGAUGGUCACAGCCCAUCUCCUCUGGUGUUUGCCCAGCCUGAGCUGACCCUGGCCUGGGCUUCGUGAGCUGCCCUUAUGCCACCCUGUGGCCGCUCUGCCCGAGCCAGGAGAGAUGUGGUGCGGUGCAGAGACGCAGGGUGUGGCCGCAGGACCCCCUGGAGCACCCGCAGCAGGCUGGUCACUCCGCCUAUGCCCAGCGUUUUCUGACACAGACCUUCUCCCACAGCUUUCUAUGCCUCUGCCUUGGACCCUUGAAAAGGGAUGUGUGACUCUGACCGAAGGGACAUCAGUUCCCGUUCCUCUACAUCAACAGUUCUCAACAUUAGCCUCUGUCAGGAUUACGGAGGGCCGGCCAAGACGCAGGCUGCCAGGCUCCGCCCAGGAAAUCAGAUGAGGAAAACGUCUUGUUGACAAACCCACCCCUCUGUCUGAGGCACUCACAGCCUAAAGGAGAGACCCAGCCAUGCGACUAUGGCCCCUCUGGACCACGCAAGCCGCCAGGAAGGAAUGGAAGAGGUGAUGGCUUUCCUGACGUUUCCAGAUGCUUUUGGCAGAAGCGAAUGGAAUGAAGAUGUAUGGUGACGGGAAACAUAGAUGGCAGUCCAGAACAACAAUCGUGUCAGCUCUGGAUGUCCCUGCAGAGCUCGGCACAGGGCGGAGUGAGUGUGGGAACGCGAGGCUGGGGGCCGUGUGCGGGUUCACCUGUCCUCUGCUCAGGGCCCCUCCCCCGACACCAGCUUCUUUGUGCUAGUAAGUAAGUCCCAGAAGAGAGCCCACUGUCAGUGCAGAGGACUGAGGGGCCCUCACACAAAGGAGCACCUGGUCUGGGAGGCCUCGGCUGCCCGGAACUGCAGGGCCAGGGCCAAGGCCAGGAGGGGAAGAGAGGGGAGGUGCGGCGCCCACAGCUCACCUCCAGGAGGGACUGCAGAGGAAUGCUCCUUCUGUCCCAGAUGGAGGCAGGCAGUGACAGAGGCUCCAGAGGAAGAUCUUUUCCCACAGCAGGUCCUCUGGUGGGUCCACCAGUCACGUGUGACUGCCCUGGCCCACAGGAAGCCCUGGGGCACAGUGCCUGUCUGCCUGUAAGCAAGGCCUUCUGGGUACAGCGACUAAGCUCUGCUUGAGCAGAUGUGACAGGAAUUCCGCCCGGACUAGCUCUGUCCCUGGCACUUGGGGUGUGGGACCCUCAGUGAUGGCACUGUUCAGGGAAGCAGAAUUACAAGGCCUGCCCAAGAUAAAAACAGCAAAAUCCACUCUCUGUCCUCCUCAUGGGUUUGGAAGAGAAGUGCUUUGAGAAGAGCAGCUUUCUAUACACACACGGAAUAGUGCUGAGGACUGUGACUCAGGCUCUCCCAGGAGGGCGAUGCAGCCUGCGGUGUCACGGGACGUCAGUGUGCUGGGACCUGUGUUGCCACCGCACAGCCCGCCUUCCUCGGGAACUGGGAGGGACUUCUGGCAGAGACCCUGGAAGGCUCCCGAUCUCCAUGGGAAGCCCCAGGGAUGAUACAGAGUCCGGGGCUGCAGCAGCUCUGAAGGCCAGUUUCCCUUUGCUUCCGUGCCCCAUCCAGAGGGCGAGCCUUCCAGAGGCCUGCUGCUCAGACCCUUGGUAGGGAGGACCGUGGAGAUGUGGCAGGCAGUGAGACACAGCCUCAGAGGCAGCCCUCAUAUCUUCAUCGUGGCAGAGAGUUCUCAAAGCAUGCUCCCUUUGGAGAGCUCCUUUAAUUUCCGAGCAGUCCUGAGAGGCUGCGUGGGGGGACGGUCACAUCUAUUUUACAGAGUAGGGGGCUGGAUUCAGAGGGGGGGUUAAUUUGCAUGCCAUCACGCAGCUGGUUAGCCAGGCCCGCGCCCAGGGCUGCCCUGACAGGCAGGACCUGAUGGGCUGUGUGCUGGCAUCUGGGGGUGCACCACCCGGGAGCGGGGGUGGUUGGGGGUUGUGGCUGAAUCCUGUCUGCCUCAUCAGCGGCUCAAGGACUACACCCUUCCAGUGCGGGCCCUCUGGGUUGCGUGUCUGUCUUAGGGGCAGUUGCGCUGCUCCCCACAGCCUCCGUGAGUCUCCCUGGGGAGAUUUCAGGGCUGGGAGGUGGGGGAGGCCCAGCCCUAUCUCACUCUCACGUAUCUGCCCACUCAGAUCCACCUCAUCAGCAGGGCAGUGAGGCACAGGGAGAGCAAGCAGGUUUUGGGGAGGUGGAGGAUGCUUGGGAAUACAAAGAUAAGGGGCAGAGGGCUGUGCCCAGAGGAUGCUGGGGUUCGGGGACAGAAGUGUAACACAGCUAUAUGGGCUGGGUCUGGGAGGGGCUCUCCCGCUCAGUAUCCCUGCAUUCACGCCUCCCCACCCACCUAAGGUCUUAGUGUCCUUCAAGGGUCACCUUCUGUGAUGACAUCUGCUGUCACGGCUCAAGUCUGAUUCUCUCCUCAGGCUUCCUGUCUCCCUACAUCCCUUCAACUGUCCCUCACAAUUAAUGUCUAUGUUCUUCCCGAUUUCGAGCUUCCGGUCUCCUCAACAAAGGCAAGUGCUUGAAAGUAGCCUUAGCCGACCAUGGGCACAGUCGGAGCUCCCUGCAAGCAUGGGCCGCAUACGCAGGGGGACAGGCCGUGGGCCCUUACCUGCCGCUGCCGAUGGAUGGAAAGGCGAUGGACUUCAGCUUCUUGUCAUCCGCCAGGGCCAAGCAGUUCUUCACUGUCUUUUCCAGAAGUUCCUCACACUUGUCUGCACCCCAGACUGGACUGUUACAGUGGAUCACAAACUUGGCGGGCAGGCCAUGGCCUGCGCUGACAGCGGCUGGAGGGGACAAGACAGAAGCAGUGAGCUGGGUCCCCCUGCAGUAGCACGCGUGCUAGGUGCCGAGCCCAGGCCGGCUCUCCAGCUCCAGCACGUCUGCCCGGGCCCCCCGACCACCUGGUCCAGGAGGGCUGCAGCUGCCUGCUGCCUUGUGAUUCCCACGGAAGCUCGAGCCGGAAACUGCUUGUCCUGCAGUCUCCUCCCUCGGUGGCGGGGUGGGGUGGGGGGACGCCAAGCCAACCCCCACCCUUGGAAAGUUGGCGUUAGGACGCGUGGCCACCAGGAACUUCAGCCAAGGUCACAGUAAACCCUCUCCCUAGCCUCCCAGAAGGCCGAGCCAUAACCAUCUAACUUGACCAAAUGUGUCAGAAUGUUUGUAGCCUCCAAUUAAUCGCCUUUCGGGGGUCUCCAACCGCCCUAUCCUCAAGUGGAUUAAUGUGCAUUUAAUUAUGAUGUACCGAUAUCUAUAAAUCUCUGACACAGUUCGGAACAAACCUCCUGGGAAAGUAACCCA
Molecule: long non-coding RNA, 9465 nt
Organism: Orcinus orca (killer whale)
Lineage: Eukaryota; Metazoa; Chordata; Mammalia; Artiodactyla; Delphinidae
Exons: 5
Source: RefSeq, a predicted model, not a curated record